UCUGUUGAGGACGGCCGGUCCGCACUAUGUGCGUGUUUCUGGGUCGGCCUUGGCAUCCUCUUGAGGAUUUUUCCUGCGCUUGAUUGCGUGGGGCGGUAUUCAAGACUUUUACUUUGAGGAAAUUAGAGUGUUCACGGCAGGCAAGCGCCUUGAAUACAUUAGCAUGGAAUAAUAAUAUAGGAUCUUGGUUCUAUUUGUUGGUUUCUAGGGCUAAAGUAAUGAUUAAUAGGGAUAAUUGGG
This 240-nucleotide ribosomal RNA is filed under the name uncultured eukaryote. Its description in RNAcentral is "partial 18S ribosomal RNA". The stretch from base 95 to 240 matches the Rfam family "Eukaryotic small subunit ribosomal RNA", at positions 738 to 886 of the family's 1831-position model. The record is from RNAcentral.